RNAcentral lists this ribosomal RNA (468 nucleotides) under uncultured bacterium. RNAcentral's name for it is "partial 16S ribosomal RNA". It matches the Rfam family "Bacterial small subunit ribosomal RNA", at positions 28 to 507 of the family's 1533-position model. The record is from RNAcentral.
GACGAACGCUGGCGGCGUGCUUAACACAUGCAAGUCGAACGGAAAGGCCCUGCUUUUGUGGGGUGCUCGAGUGGCGAACGGGUGAGUAACACGUGAGUAACCUGCCCUUGACUUUGGGAUAACUUCAGGAAACUGGGGCUAAUACCGGAUAGGAGCUCCUGCUGCAUGGUGGGGGUUGGAAAGUUUCGGCGGUGGGGGAUGGACUCGCGGCUUAUCAGCUUGUUGGUGGGGUAGGGGCUGACCAAGGCUUUGACGGGUAGCCGGCCUGAGAGGGUGACCGGCCACAUUGGGACUGAGAUACGGCCCAGACUCCUACGGGAGGCAGCAGUGGGGAAUAUUGCACAAUGGGCGGAAGCCUGAUGCAGCAACGCCGCGUGCGGGAUGACGGCCUUCGGGUUGUAAACCGCUUUCGCCUGUGACGAAGCGUGAGUGACGGUAAUGAGUAAAGAAGCACCGGCUAACUACGUG